This 4169-nucleotide long non-coding RNA is filed under the name Equus caballus (horse). RNAcentral describes it as "lncRNA (ENSECAG00000056715.1)". Lineage: Eukaryota; Metazoa; Chordata; Mammalia; Perissodactyla; Equidae. The record is from RNAcentral.
GCAAGGUUUGCUUCUCUCUGACGCGACUCCACUCCACCUCAGUUUAAGGCCUCCAUUCUCUCAGGCAGCCCCUCCUCACAGUGCCAGCUCUCCAGCCCCAGAAUCCCUAUUCCUUCCCCUUACCCCUCAGCCCAGGGGUAGUUACAGCUCCCUGUUGCUGCUUGUGUCCAGGUGUCCCCCCUUCCCUGCCUGGACCCUUGGGGACAGUCUCUUCAUGAAACCACCUUUACUUUGGCCCUAGCAGCGCUUGGCAGCCACCUCUCCUCUGCCAGGCUCCUGCAGCUGUUACAUCUCAUGAGGCAAGCCCCCAAAGCAGGCUGGAGGGACCCAGGUCAGCUAAAAUGAGGGGAGACCCAGUUCUUGGAGCCAGAGGCAGGCAGGGGAGGGCGGUCCAGUGGAGACGUCCACGGGGAGGGGUCCUCGGUGGAGUUCACGCUGAUUCCUUCCGUGUUCUCAGUGGACUAGGAGGCAGUGACUGUGCCGGGCGCUAGGACUAGAGACCCAUCACUCCUUUCACAACAGGCUUCCUGAAAUUAUCGUCUGGUUCUUUGCUGAAGGAUAAAGCGUUUUCUCUGCUCUAUUAUUUAGGCUGCUGAGCACCACUGGGUUUGAUUAUUACUAAACUAAUAAGGGGUUAAGGGCGUCGACUCUGGAGCCAGACUGCCCAGCUGGAAUCCUUAUUAUCACCGUUCUGCGAUGUCGGACAGGUAACCCCUGUCUCCAAGCCUCAGCUUUCUCACCUGUAAAAUAGGCGUGCUAAUGACAGGAUCUGCUUCCGAGGGUUCAGGAGGAUUAAAGGAGUUAACACGUAAAACACGCAGAACAGCGCUUGGCCCAUAACGUGCGCCCGGGGCCACUCUUAUCUACAAAAUGAUCGCAGCCAAUUCACAGUUUAGCUGGCGGAUGGGCUGGCCUUGGGGCCAGAUGCCCGGCCCCGUCCCGGCAUCUCAGCAAACUGGCCACGAAUGAGAAUUCUCUUGGCAGAAACCGAGGAAUGUUAAAUUAACCACGAGAAAAGGCCAAAGGACUCUGGGAUAAGAUGUCCUAUCUGUAUCUCCCCUGGGUCUGCCUUGGAAAAGGAAAAGCCAGUCCACUUCUGUGGAGCUCUGUCCACGUUCUGCAUCCUUUAUCACCCCCUGUAGCUGGUAGUUUGCAGGUUUGCAUAAUCGAUGGUUCACAACUGACUUGACUCCGGCCAGAGGAAGUUCUGAUGAAGCAAAAUCUCAAGAAAGUAUUACGCCCGCCCAUCAUAGUCUGAGGAGCGGCAGUCUAGUUCCAGUGGGGGAGGGUAACAUGGGUUAUUCUAGGCCAGAAUCAGUCUGUGCCAGAGAUGGAGGGAAACUGUCUUCCAAACAUCCCAGGCCUCACCUGAGUGUCACCAACCUUGUUGGAUGUCAGGUGGGCCUCGGCAGCCUGGAUCCAGCUGCCCCGUGUGAGAGGCCAUGUCACUAACCUGCCCGCCUCCAGGAAGUUCCUCCUCCAGAACUAAUCACACAUAAGUAAAAGCAUCUCCUACAAGAAGAGUGCGUUAGUCUGCUGACAUAACAAAGUACCACAAACUGGGUGACUUGAGAGAAAUUUAUUGUCUCACCGUUCUGGAAGCUAGAAGUCUGAAAUCAAGGUGUGGGUAAGAUUGGGUCCUUCUGAGGGCUGUGAGGGAAGGGUUCACUCCAGGCCUCUCUCCUGGGCUUGUUGAUGGCCAUCUUCCCCCCGUGUCUCUUCACAUCGUCUUCCCUCUCUGUGCAUCUGUCUCCAAAUUUCCCCCCUUGAUAAGGACAUCAGUGAUUUUGGAUCGGGGGCCCACCCUACUCCAGUAUGACCUCAUCUUAACUAGUUACAUCUGCGAUGACCCUAUUUCCAAAUAAGGGCACAUUCUGGGGUUAGGAUCUCAGCACAGGAAUUUUGAGAUGGACACAACUCAGAUCAACUCUGACUUCUGAUGGGAGAAGCAGAGGAGCUGUUCAGUGGUUCAGGAAGGGAUGAUGCUGAGGAAAUCGUUUCAUUUUAGUCUCUCGGUAACUCCGAAAGGAAGGGAAUUCAAGUAUUAUUGCCAUUUUGCAGAUAAGAAAGCUGAAAUAUUUCAGACAGUGUCAUGGAUUGGGCCGUUUCUAUGGAGGGCUAUGAUCGCAACAAUUUUUCCUAAUUUUCUUCUCAGAAGGCAGGCUUUUUUAAAAUCUAGACUUUGCGGGUACCUUCACAUUGGCCCUGUGUGCCCACUGCAAUGCCAACCUGAAUUAAUAACUAAAACUUUUCGGAAUACUAAGAGUAAUUGUAAUAGGGUGAUGAAAUUACAGGUGGAUUUUUCUUUUCUUGACCUAUUCUCUAUUUUCCAAGUGUUUUGUAAAGUGGGAAUGUUGCAUAAUUUAACAUUUUCAUCUAGGGGCCGGCCCGGUGGUGCAGCGGUUAAGGUCACACGCUCCGCUUCUCAGCGGCCCGGGGUUCGCCGGUUCGGAUCCCAGGUGUGGACAUGGCACUGCUUGGCACGCCAUGCUAUGGUAGGCGUCCCCCAUAUAAGUAGAGGAAGAUGGGCAUGGAUGUUAGCUCAGGGCCAGGCUUCCUCAGCAAAAAGAGGAGGACUGGCAGUAGUUAGCUCAGGGCUAAUCUUCCUCAAAAGAAUAAAAAAAUAAAAAUAAAAAAUAAAAUUUUCAUCUUAAGUGUUUUUGGAGUGAGAGAGGCUGAGUUCUAACCAUCCACCUCUGGAAGAGCUAAGACCUUCCUUUCACCUCACCACUUAGUCUCCAGCACCUCCAGCCCAGGCUGAGUCUUUCUCGCACAGGCGUGAGAGGCAGGGGCUGCUCACUUUGUGAGCCACAUCUUUGCUCCAAGACACAGAAGGUGCCUGGGGAUGGUGCCGCAGAGAGGGUCACUUCACCCAGCUGAUCCAUUCCAGACUGAGCUGACUUGUGAAACUGAAUGACUUCAUCAACCUUUGGGUGUAAUUUCACAUCUGCUUCCAUGGAGGAACCUCAGGGCUUACUAUAGAGAGAAAAUAAAGACUGAAUUUCCCUGGCCUGACCGUCCCCUCCUCCCCAAUCCAUUUGGCCAGGAUGGGAGUGAGGCCAGUGGGGGAAGAGAUGGGGAAAGGAGAUAAAGAGAGAAAGGAAGAGGCUAGAGGGGAGGGGCAGAAUUAAUGCCAACAAAGAAGUUGGGAGCUCAUCCACCUUGCCUUCCCACCUCCUAGGCUGCAGAAGAUUCUUGCUUGGUACUCUCUAGAAAUCCUCUCAAAGACAAGGUUACAAGGGCUAGACGACCUCAUAGGCCAACUAGGCAUGUGCUUAGUGGAUGAAGAGAUGUGCAAGUACUAUUGCAAGUCUCUGGUAGGGAAAGUGGCGACUGGCAGUGCCUGCUGACCCUGAGAAUAGUGUUUUCAGGUCCAACAUUUAGGAAUUUGCUCAGAUUGACUCUAGUCAAGCAUCAAAGAAAUUUGCCCAAUAAAUUCCUAGGUAGUCUCCUAGGCAGGUGGCCAUGAACAAUGUCCUAUUAGCAGAACCACUCAAAGGGGGCCAAACUCCAGAGGUGGAUUCAGGAAGAAAAAGCAAGUCCUAUUAAGUGAGUCCCUCACUUAAGAGACAGACGGGGCAAAAUUGCCUGGUAUGUGACAUUUGUCCUCCGUAUCUUCUUCUUCCCCUUUGUGAAUCUCCCUCUAAAUUUCCAGCUAAUUUCAGCGCACCUCGGGUCACACCCCUGAGGCCCACUCUCUGCAAGCAGUUCUCGAGUCUCUCCCCUCCCUCCUCUGAGCCCUCCUCUCUGAGGACCACGCGGCCCCAUCUCACCGGCUCCCAAGUGCACAGACUGCCCCCACUUCCCCCAGCAAUUUCUGUGACUCUGAUUUAGCUUAUAAAUGGGAGACCAGGGGGAGGGAUGUUUUUGUGUGCUCUUUAAUUCCAGUAUGUAAUAAAUUAUGCCUGUUUUGAUUAAUCCUUCAAUAAAUGAACAAAUGAAUGAAUGAAUCUUCAAGACAUUCAGCAACAGCUUUUUAUUAAUGUGGAGUUUAUGUAAUCGCAUCCUGGAUCCAGGAACCAUCCUGGAUGUGCUGCUGGACGCAGGGGCUAGGAGCAAGGCUCUCCUCCCAGGACAGGCAAGGUGAGUGUGCUGGGAGGGGGAGAGCAGCAAAAUGUGGUCAUCCGAACACUCCCAAAAAGCUUCUGGAUCGUGGAUAAGACAUUGUG